UCCCUCAAGAAGCCUAUGGACUGGUAUGCAGGAGUGAUCCAGCUCUCAGAUUUCAUCAAAAAUAUCUUAAUUCAUGUUCCGAAGAUGUACGAAGGUCUUGCGGGGUUGAAACAACAUGAAGCUGAAUUGCAGGGCUGUACAUUGGGCUUGCAGAGGUGGAAGUCUCUCAGCGUUGAAAGUUCUUCAGGACAGGGGAGCUGAUAUCAACGUCAGAGACAAACUGCUUAGCUCACCUUCACAUGUGGCCACACGGACCGGUCACAGCGACGUGGUCCAACAUCUUCUAGCCAGUGGAAUCAAUAUCAAUGCCAAAGAUUGGGAAGGAGACACAGCUCUACAUGAUGUUGUCAGAUUAAAUCGAUAUAAAAUCGUAAAACUCCUCAUGCUGGCUGGAGCCGAUAUGCAGAUCAAGAAUGCUGUGGGCCUUACAGCCACUGAACAGGUGAAGCAAUGGCAGUUUCACACCAAGGAGACACUGGAGAAACUGGAACAGAUGAGGGAGGUCGGUCUGGCCUGACGGACACAUGGAGAUGCGCUGGAUUCAUUAGAGUCACUGUGACUCAACAACACCUCUGCCUGAGGUAUUUAAACCUGACCCGUGUCAUUGCAUCCUGCAGAGAUUUGAACGCAUAUGCCCUGACAGCUGAUCUCUUCAUAAAACACAGCACCACAGGGAGCCAUUUAUGACCGACGCCAUAAACACCAAUAGGUCGGUAAUGAGAAAUGUCGAUAAAAAUCUCACCCUGGAGAUCUAUUACCUUUAAUGUUAAAGAUGAGUGGUUCUCGCUUCCAAACAACAAGAAUCCCAUGUCUUAAAUACGGUGCAAUAUAUCAAACGUUGUUGUGACAACUAUGACCACACACAUAGUCUUUGCAUGUACCACAAUGUGUAUAUUUUAAAGCAAGAUAAAUAUGGAAUAGCUAAAACCGUAAACUAAUUGUAAGGUAAUUGAUUGUCUAUAGAAGUUUUCAAACUUCAUUUCUUUUACCUAAAGACCGUGAACAAACACUCACAGUGUAUAAUGGGGUAUAAUGUGGUCUCUGAUGAUUGUCCUUCACUGGUAGUAAAUCAGCAUGGCAAUAAUGCCCCUGGGAAAUGUGCAGUUGAGUCCAUAUGCCCCAGAGUCACAGGAUGGGCCCUGCAAGCAUCACUACACAUGAGUGCCCAUCCAGCACAACAUGAAGACUGACCACACUACGAGCACACAUCAUUGCGAUAUAGAGUCUGCUCUCCUUGCAAGAAAAAUAGCAAAGGUCAACUUGUAAAGCAGGAAGGAUGGUGGAACAGAGGUUGUUGACGAGGGUCGUCUCACUGACCGAGCCUAAAUUGACCUAUAAUUCUCUGCAAGCCAUAACACAUGAGUAAAGUUUGUCGUACGUGAUCGGUGCAUCCAACAUCAAGGUUAGAGAAGUCACGCUAUCACACUCCGGUUCUAAAUCUCCAGUCCCCAAAUGGAGCGAGGCUUUUAUUACACAAGCAAUUGCAUUAUCCAUUAAUCUACCCUCUUUGUGAUAAAAAAGAUAGGAUUAUUAAAGGACAUAUUUUUCGCAGCAAAUAAAUUUUUUCUUUCAUCUGUCGAGGCCAGAGCCGAUCAAAUGCAUUAUUUUUACUUAGGUGUCUGCCAUUAUUUAUAGCUUUAUUUCUCAACAAUUAGGCGUCUAGAAAUUAGGAUAUAUUGAUCUCAUAAAUUGGUUUAGGUGUUUUCCUGAG
This is an RNA transcript of Pimephales promelas (fathead minnow), 1711 nucleotides long. It is a transcript of the gene named ankyrin repeat domain 2 (stretch responsive muscle), with no coding region annotated. NCBI's taxonomy places the organism in Eukaryota, Metazoa, Chordata, Actinopteri, Cypriniformes, Leuciscidae. The record is from RefSeq and is a predicted model, not a curated record.